GGGCCCGCACAAGCGGUGGAGCAUGUGGUUUAAUUCGAUGCAACGCGAAAAACCUUACCACCCCUUGACAUCCUGCGAAGUUACCAGAGAUGGUUUCGUGCCUUCGGGAGCGCAGAGACAGGUGCUGCAUGGCUGUCGUCAGCUCGUGUUGUGAAAUGUUGGGUUAAGUCCCGUAACGAGCGCAACCCUUGUCCUUAGUUGCUAACAUUUAGUUGAGAACUCUAAGGAGACUGCCGGUGACAAACCGGAGGAAGGUGGGGACGACGUCAAGUCAUCAUGGCCCUUACGGGGUGGGCUACACACGUGCUACAAUGGGGAGUACAGAGGGUUGCCAAGCCGCGAGGUGGAGCUAAUCCCUUAAAACUUCUCGUAGUCCGGAUUGGAGUCUGCAACUCGACUCCAUGAAGUCGGAAUCGCUAGUAAUCG
This 426-nucleotide ribosomal RNA is filed under the name uncultured bacterium. RNAcentral's name for it is "bacterial SSU rRNA". It matches the Rfam family "Bacterial small subunit ribosomal RNA", at positions 917 to 1344 of the family's 1533-position model. The record is from RNAcentral.